UGGGGAAUAUUGCACAAUGGGCGAAAGCCUGAUGCAGCGACGCCGCGUGCGGGAUGAAGGCCUUCGGGUUGUAAACCGCUUUUAAUUGGGAGCAAGCGAGAGUGAGUGUACCUUUUGAAUAAGCACCGGCUAACUACGUGCCAGCAGCCGCGGUAAUACGUAGGGUGCAAGCGUUAUCCGGAAUUAUUGGGCGUAAAGAGCUCGUAGGCGGUUUGUCACGCCUGGUGUGAAAGUCCAUCGCUUAACGGUGGAUCUGCGCCGGGUACGGGCAGGCUAGAGUGCAGUAGGGGAGAUUGGAAUUCCCGGUGUAACGGUGGAAUGUGUAGAUAUCGGGAAGAACACCAAUGGCGAAGGCAGAUCUCUGGGCUGUUACUGACGCUGAGGAGCGAAAAGCAUGGGGAGCGAACAGGAUUAGAUACCCUGGUAGUCCAUGCCGUAAAACGGUGGAUGCUAGAUGUGGGACCCUUCCACGGGUUCCGUGUCGGAGCUAAACGCGUUAAGCAUCCCGCCUGGGGAGUACGGCCGCAAGGCUAAAAACUCUAAAAGUGAAUUGAC
Molecule: ribosomal RNA, 555 nt
Filed under: uncultured bacterium
Lineage: Bacteria
Description: partial 16S ribosomal RNA
Rfam family: Bacterial small subunit ribosomal RNA
Source: RNAcentral